RNAcentral lists this ribosomal RNA (550 nucleotides) under Pratylenchus sp. 4 WB-2017. RNAcentral describes it as "eukaryotic LSU rRNA". It matches the Rfam family "Eukaryotic large subunit ribosomal RNA", at positions 463 to 920 of the family's 3401-position model. The record is from RNAcentral. Lineage: Eukaryota; Metazoa; Nematoda; Chromadorea; Rhabditida; Pratylenchidae.
CAAGCAGCAAUGUUGUGCAUUUGCAGGUCGAGUGCGCCGAGACUUUCGAGAAGGCGAUAUGAGCUCAAUUUUGAGGCCAGCUUGSUGGUACCCGGAUUGGAGGAAUGUUGUUCGUUUUGGAUGURAUUUUGGGGAAAGGUUUUCGAGCUCGUAUGGGUUCGAGUCGGUGUGGGGUGGCAGUUGCAUGCAACAUGUGCCUUCCGCCGAUUCGGUCCUGUGCGAGCUCACAAUCCCACUCUCGGCGUAAAAGUUGGUCAUCUAUCCGACCCGUCUUGAAACACGGACCAAGGAGUUUAUCGUGUGCGCAAGUCAUUGGGUGUUGAAAACUCAAAGGCGCAAUGAAAGUAAAGCAUCCGCAAGGAUUUGACGUGUGAUCUGAUCAGUCUCGAYUGUYYGGAGCAACAUGGCCCCAUUCUGGCCGCUUGCGGCGGGGUGGAGGAAGAGCCCGAAAGAUGGUGAACUAUUCCUGAGCAGGAUGAAGCCAGAGGAAACUCUGGUGGAAGUCCGAAGCGAUUCUGACGUGCAAAUCGAUCGUCUGACUUGGGUAUAG